RNAcentral lists this ribosomal RNA (2260 nucleotides) under human gut metagenome. Its description in RNAcentral is "bacterial LSU rRNA". It matches the Rfam family "Bacterial large subunit ribosomal RNA", at positions 14 to 2301 of the family's 2925-position model. The record is from RNAcentral.
AGAGCGUAUGGUGGAUGCCUUGGCACUAAGAGCCGAUGAAAGACGUGAUAAGCUGCGAAAAGCUUCGGGGAGGAGCAAAUAUCCUUUGAUCCGGAGAUCUCUGAAUGGGGAAACCUACUUGAGCAAACCUCAAGUAUCCUUAAGCCAAUACAUAACUUAAGGAAGGGAACCCGGUGAACUGAAACAUCUAAGUAGCCGGAGGAAGAGAAAACAACAUGUGAUUCUGUGAGUAGCGGCGAGCGAAAACGGAAGAGCCCAAACCGGGAUGCGUGCAUCCCGGGGUUCGGACCGCAUAAUUGAUUCAACAAAUUUAGCAGAACGGUUUUGGGAAAGCCGGCCAGAGAGGGUGAAAGCCCCGUAAGCGAAAGAUGAGUUGACAUGGCGGUAUCCAGAGUAGGUCGAGACACGUGGAACCUUGACUGAACAUGCGGGGACCACCCCGUAAGGCUAAAUACUCCUUAGUGACCGAUAGCGCAUAGUACUGUGAAGGAACGGUGAAAAGGACCCCGGGAGGGGAGUGAAACAGAACCUGAAACCAUAUGUUUACAAGCUGUGGAACCAUGUUUUAUGUGGAACCGCGUACUUUUUGUAGAACGGUCCGGCGAGUUGCGCUGGCUGGCGAGGUUAAGCACCAAAGGUGUGGAGCCGAAGGGAAACCAAGUCUUAAUAGGGCGAAUGAGUCAGUCGGAGCAGACCCGAAACCGGGUGAUCUAUCCAUGUCCAGGUUGAAGUUGCCGUAAAAGGCAAUGGAGGACCGAACCCACAUCCGUUGAAAAGGGUGGGGAUGAGGUGUGGAUAGGGGAGAAAUUCCAAUCGAACCCGGAGAUAGCUGGUUCUCCUCGAAAUAGCUUUAGGGCUAGCCUCAUACAAGUCUUGCGGAGGUAGAGCACUGAAUUUCCUAGGGGGCGUCAAAGCUUACCGAAGAAUAUCAAACUCCGAAUGCCGUGUAGAUGUUGUAUGGGAGUCAGACUGUACGAGAUAAGUUGGACAGUCAAAAGGGAAAGAGCCCAGACCUGCAGCUAAGGCCCCAAAAUGUGUGUUAAGUGGAAAAGGAUGUGGGAUUUCAAAGACAACUAGGAUGUUGGCUUAGAAGCAGCCAUACAUUCAAAGAGUGCGUAAUAGCUCACUAGUCGAGAGGUCCUGCGCCGAAAAUGUCCGGGGCUGAAACACACUGCCGAAGCUCAGGAAUUAACUGAUGUUAAUUGGUAGAGGAGCAUUGUAUACGGGACGAAGCAGUACCGAUAAGGAGCUGUGGACUGUAUAGAAGAGAGAAUGCCGGAAUGAGUAGCGAGAGGAAGGUGAGAAUCCUUCCGGCCGAAUAUCCAAGGUUUCCAGAGUAAAGCUGAUCUGCUCUGGGUAAGUCGGGGCCUAAGGAGAGGCAGAGAUGCGUAUCCGAUGGACAGCAGGUUUAAGAUUCCUGCACCCCUUGUUAUCAGAACUGCGGGGACACGGGAAGGGAAGCAGAGCCGGGAAUGGAAAGCCCGGUGCAAGCGAAGUAGUCGCAGGGUUGGAAAAUCCGCCCUGCAUAAGACGAAGGCGUGAUGCGGAGCGAAAUGAAGUAGUGAAGCUGCGGCCCCUUCCUGUCGAGAAAAGCCGCUAUCGUGUAGCAAGGGCCCGUACCGUAAACCGACACAGGUGGAUGAGGAGAGGAUCCUAAGGCCGGCGGGAGAAGUGUUGUUAAGGAACUCGGCAAAAUGACUCCGUAACUUCGGGAGAAGGAGUGCUGCGCAAGCAGCCGCAGAGAAAUGGCCCAAGCAACUGUUUAGCAAAAACACAGGUCUAUGCGAAACCGAAAGGUGAGGUAUAUGGGCUGACGCCUGCCCGGUGCUGGAAGGUUAAGGGGAGAGGUUAGCGCAAGCGAAGCUUUGAACUUAAGCCCCAGUAAACGGCGGCCGUAACUAUAACGGUCCUAAGGUAGCGAAAUUCCUUGUCGGGUAAGUUCCGACCCGCACGAAAGGCGUAAUGAUUUGGGCACUGUCUCAACAACACACCCGGUGAAAUUGAAAUACCAGUGAAGAUGCUGGUUACCCGCGCCAGGACGGAAAGACCCCAUGGAGCUUUACUCCAGCCUGAUACUGGGAUUCGGUAUUGCAUGUACAGGAUAGGUGGGAGGCUAAGAACUCAUGGCGCCAGCCGUGAGGGAGCCGAUGUUGGGAUACCACCCCUGCAGUACUGGGUUUCUAACCUGCGCCCGUGACCCGGGCGGGGGACAAUGUCAGGCGGGGAGUUUGACUGGGGCGGUCGCCUCCGAAAGGGUAUC